UGGGGAAUAUUGGACAAUGGGCGAAAGCCUGAUCCAGCAAUGCCGCGUGUGUGAAGAAGGCCUUAGGGUUGUAAAGCACUUUCAGUAGGGAAGAAAAGCAGAGGGCCAAUACCCCUCUGUCAUGACGUUACCUACAGAAGAAGCACCGGCUAACUCCGUGCCAGCAGCCGCGGUAAUACGGAGGGUGCGAGCGUUAAUCGGAAUCACUGGGCGUAAAGGGCGCGUAGGCGGUCUGAUAAGUCGGGUGUGAAAGCCCCAGGCUCAACCUGGGAAUUGCAUUCGAUACUGUCAGGCUUGAGUGUGGUAGAGGGAAGCGGAAUUCCGGGUGUAGCGGUGAAAUGCGUAGAUAUCCGGAGGAACAUCAGUGGCGAAGGCGGCUUCCUGGACCAACACUGACGCUGAGGCGCGAAAGCGUGGGGAGCAAACAGGAUUAGAUACCCCCGUAGUCC
This 449-nucleotide ribosomal RNA is filed under the name uncultured prokaryote. RNAcentral's name for it is "bacterial SSU rRNA". It matches the Rfam family "Bacterial small subunit ribosomal RNA", at positions 355 to 796 of the family's 1533-position model. The record is from RNAcentral.